Non-coding RNA from Parelaphostrongylus tenuis, 76 nucleotides. NCBI's taxonomy places the organism in Eukaryota, Metazoa, Nematoda, Chromadorea, Rhabditida, Metastrongylidae. The record is from the annotation of a GenBank genome assembly.
ACGCCGGUAGUGCAACGGGUUAGAGAAUGCGCCCCUGGAUAGAGUGAAAUGCGGGUUCGAAUCCCCGCCUGGCGCG